Molecule: long non-coding RNA, 2085 nt
Organism: Selaginella moellendorffii
Lineage: Eukaryota; Viridiplantae; Streptophyta; Lycopodiopsida; Selaginellales; Selaginellaceae
Exons: 7
Source: RefSeq, a predicted model, not a curated record
CUCGAGCAAAGUGAACGGGUUGACGAGCUCGGCGGCGGCGGCGGCGGCGGCAGGCAAGACGUCGUCUUCAUCGCUGAGAAGAGAAAGUGGCAGUGGCUUGGCGACAGUUUCUCGGUCACGCUGCUUUGUUCCGAGCGAGCCGGCUGGCGUGGGGUCGUCGGUUGUGGGGCCUCGGACAACCGUCUCGAUCAAGUCAUCCUCGUCGUCGCGGAGGUCUUCGUUUGAAGGGAAGCCGAGAUCUUCCAAGCACGGCGGCGGCAGCAGUAGCAAAGUGAGCAGCAGCAGGGAUUAAAGGAAGGAGAGAGUGACGAACAAAGAGAAGGCGAAGGUAAAGACCCGGCAGCAAUGGACACAGCCGGGAGAGAACGAACAGGACGUGAAGAACACGAUGAGAGAAAGGACUAUGAGGAAGGCGAUCGCGCGAGUGGUACUUAAGAAAGUCACAACGAGCAAGGCUGCGAGGAGGGAGAGAAGGAAGGAAAGCAAGGCAAGGAGGUAGUAGUACAUUGAGUUUCAAGCUUGAGAAAACGAGGAAGAGGAAGAAGGUUAGCCUAUAGAGGAAGAAAGAGGACACUCCAUCGUUUCUUCUUCUUGCUUUUGUAUAGUUGUUUUAUUUUUUUCCUUUGUUCCAUUGGAUGAGACGUCCACGGCUCGAGUCACGUCGUUGGCUUCUUUCUCGUUUUUAAAUCUUUGGGAGGAUUUAGGGGUUUUGGCGCACAGGGAAUGAGCGCGGCGGAGGGAUGGGGUAUGGAUUCUUGCCGGCUUCGAUCGGUUCUCUUUCGACCGCGAGCUACAUUCACGAUCGCUGCACUGGCGAUCUUACAGAGAUUAUCGAGGUAUUCAGUGCGUCUUUCCAGGGAAAUAUUUCCUGCCGCUUGUGCGAGUAAGCAUUCCCCGAGAGUCAAUCAAUGCGCAGAUUUAGUGCCUGCUAUUCAUUUCCGCGGAUUUCUGUCCACGAGAUCUUCGGUAUGGUGGCUCUUAUGGAGAGCAUUCCCUUUAUAGCGCUCAUUGUAAUUGAGGAAUGACUCUAUCAAACGGCAAUUCAUCUCAAAUCCCCGGGACUUCGUCACGGAAUUCUACUCACGUGGACUAUAGCAAAGACUCGCGGUGAAGGACUUCUACUCGUUUUGUCUGCGUGAACCAAAGCUGGAUAUGGCCAGAGGAAUCAGGCUCUCCACAGCUGAUCCGGGCUCUCGAAGUUGGUUUUACGUCAGAUCUCAGGAACAGGAGCGUACAACUGUGUAUUCUUCGGCUCGGAGACAACGAGACACUCGGCAAGAUGCCAGUCGGAGGACGGAAUUUUUUUGAAGUGGUUUCACACGGUUCAACGUCAUCACAAACAGCUAGCGGCUGAAACGGACAAGGGCUAGUACAGCUUUUGCCAGUUAGAACUGGGAGGAAUGCAAGUAGGCUGUGGAAAAAGUUGGCUAUCUUUAUGGGGCCCCGAUCUAGUGCCGCUGAGAUUGCUCGACGAUAUGACGCUAUGUUUUGCUCUCAAACUGCUCUCAUGCCAGUGUCUAAGCCGAGAGAGAGGCAGCGACGAGAAGAAUUCUCACUUUGAUAACACGAUCCAUAUCUUUGGCACUUGUCGAUGUCGAAGCACACAGGUCCAAUAUGUCCUUAGAGGCAUUGCGUUCUGAUUUGGAUGCUGGGUGCGAUUCGCAAUACGGCCUCAACAAGAUCUCUUCCUCGAGAUUUGUUUUCAAUCGUCUUGGAAAUGAAACAACGGCCAUGUGACUAUGCUUCCUUGGAACUCGUUUAAAUAGUAACACAAUAGCACCCUUCCUUGAUCCUGGAGACAGGAACUAUUGGUAAUCAUUUUCUUAUGUUUGAUUGAUUUGUAGUGGCAGCUUCAAGACGAACACCAAGCAGCGUCCUAUCUGCCAGAAGGUCUUGCUUCGUUCUGGCUCUACAACAUAAUCUUUUCCAGAUCCUUGGUUUGUCGUCGGGAGAGAAGAAUCACUAAAGCUAAAGAUCACGUAAAUCUGCCUGCCAAACAAGCAAGCGUCAAGAAUGUGAUCCAGAGAAGGAAAAAGAAGAUGGCAGAAGCCCAAGCCCAUUUCCGGGGUCCACCUAGUUCUCCUC